UUUACCCUACUGAUGCCCGCGU
Molecule: non-coding RNA, 22 nt
Filed under: Arabidopsis thaliana (thale cress)
Lineage: Eukaryota; Viridiplantae; Streptophyta; Magnoliopsida; Brassicales; Brassicaceae
Source: RNAcentral